GCAUUGAUCAUUAAGGAAUGACUUUAAUAUUUGUUCUGUCUAUAGAGAAAUAAUAUCAAAAAUGUGGUGCCCACCGAAUAACAUGCGUAGCGUAUGCACCACAUUUUUUAUGUAAUUUCGAAUAAACAGAAAUAUUAAAGUCAAUCCUUAUAAUUUAAUUCAAAAUUCAUUUAAAAGCUGGAGGAAAUCAUUAAACAAAAACGUUGUCGACGUCACGGUGACACGAAAAAAAUAUUUCUGUGAGAUGAUAGACAAGACAGAGUCACCCAAUCAGAAAACGCGUUUCAUCCGAGAUUAAAUUAUUCAAAUGGGGACG
Molecule: long non-coding RNA, 316 nt
Filed under: Mytilus galloprovincialis (Mediterranean mussel)
Lineage: Eukaryota; Metazoa; Mollusca; Bivalvia; Mytilida; Mytilidae
Source: RNAcentral